AUGGGACGGAGACGACUCCCAGACUCUUAAAGGAAACGGGCACUGAGGUCUGUGCUUAUUUAGAUUGACAAGGCAGUGUGGAGGAGAGCUCCAAACACCACUAGUUACACACAGGUGUCCGCCCUCAACCGUAAUGGGGACGCCUCUUCGCAGGCCACGUCAAGUAGUUCCUUCUUGGAAAUGAGCAUGAGGAAAGGUAGGGAGACACCGUGCCGGAGACAAAGUAAUGAGUUUUGUUGAAGAUGGUCCCCCGGCCGCCUAAGAGCAGCAGCUAAGGCAGUAGCCAUUGCUCCAGCGGCAGCACCGGUAGCAACAGAGUUUGCUGCCGAAUGUUGGCGGAGUGGAGCAGCAACGAUAGCAUCUCUGAUCUCUGAUAUCGCAGCAGCGAUAACAGCAGCGUCCUGAUAGGAUGUCUGGCAAUAGUUUCAACUGUCGCCAUUCCGCAAUGGGCUGGGCACCUAAAAAAUAUUCAAGGGGAAUUGAGAACGGUGCAGAUGGAAGAAUUGUGCCCAAUGAGAACGGAAAAUGCACGUGUUUACAUGUACGAGCUGUCUCUAUUUCCUUGCCUAAAGGAGUUGUGUGGAAGAAGGGAACCUGCAACCAAGGGAAAUGAACAACUCACCUGUGGGAAUGCACGUCUGCCCAGCUGCGAGGGAGGAGAAGAUGGCAAGUGCAACAAGGAGGAGUCCCGGAAGUAUAACCAGACGCUUUGCAGCCAUCUCCCUCUCUCUCUCUGAAACCGUACUACCGUAGCUUCUUGUAACAAUGGUGCCUCGGGUUCCUUGAGGUCCUUUAUUGACGUUUGUUUUGGUCCUCUAAUUAG
RNAcentral lists this long non-coding RNA (823 nucleotides) under Spirodela polyrhiza (greater duckweed). RNAcentral's name for it is "long non-coding RNA (SPOL_LNC002623)". Lineage: Eukaryota; Viridiplantae; Streptophyta; Magnoliopsida; Alismatales; Araceae. The record is from RNAcentral.